Molecule: ribosomal RNA, 253 nt
Filed under: uncultured bacterium
Lineage: Bacteria
Description: partial 16S ribosomal RNA
Rfam family: Bacterial small subunit ribosomal RNA
Source: RNAcentral
UACGAAGGGGGCUAGCGUUGUUCGGAAUUACUGGGCGUAAAGCGCGCGCAGGCGGUCUUCCAAGUCAGUGGUGAAAGCCCGGAGCUCAACUCCGGAACUGCCAUUGAAACUGUAAGACUUGAGGACGAGAGAGGUGAGUGGAAUUCCCAGUGUAGAGGUGAAAUUCGUAGAUAUUGGGAAGAACACCGGUGGCGAAGGCGGCUCACUGGACUGGUAUUGACGCUGAGGUGCGAAAGCGUGGGGAGCAAACAGG